This is a non-coding RNA of Camelina sativa (false flax), 105 nucleotides long. Lineage: Eukaryota; Viridiplantae; Streptophyta; Magnoliopsida; Brassicales; Brassicaceae. The record is from RefSeq and is a predicted model, not a curated record.
AUUUCUUCUUUGGCACAGCUUCUUCUGCUUUCCAAUAUGAAGGUGCGUACUUAACCGAUGGAAAAGGUCUGAACAAUUGGGAUGUCUUUGCCCAUGAAAACCCUG